Molecule: ribosomal RNA, 508 nt
Filed under: uncultured bacterium
Lineage: Bacteria
Description: partial 16S ribosomal RNA
Rfam family: Bacterial small subunit ribosomal RNA
Source: RNAcentral
GACGAACGCUGGCGGCGUGCCUAAUACAUGCAAGUCGAACGCUUCUUUCCUCCCGAGUGCUUGCCCUCAAUUGGAAAGAGGAGUGGCGGACGGGUGAGUAACACGUGGGUAACCUACCCAUCAGAGGGGGAUAACACUUGGAAACAGGUGCUAAUACCGCAUAACAGUUUAUGCCGCAUGGCAUAAGAGUGAAAGGCGCUUUCGGGUGUCGCUGAUGGAUGGACCCGCGGUGCAUUAGCUAGUUGGUGAGGUAACGGCCCACCAAGGCCACGAUGCAUAGCCGACCUGAGAGGGUGAUCGGCCACACUGGGACUGAGACACGGCCCAGACUCCUACGGGAGGCAGCAGUAGGGAAUCUUCGGCAAUGGACGAAAGUCUGACCGAGCAACGCCGCGUGAGUGAAGAAGGUGUUCGGAUCGUAAAACUCUGUUGUUAGAGAAGAACAAGGACGUUAGUAACUGAACGUCCCCUGACGGUAUCUAACCAGAAAGCCACGGCUAACUACGUG